Molecule: ribosomal RNA, 468 nt
Filed under: uncultured bacterium
Lineage: Bacteria
Description: partial 16S ribosomal RNA
Rfam family: Bacterial small subunit ribosomal RNA
Source: RNAcentral
GACGAACGCUGGCGGCGUGCUUAACACAUGCAAGUCGAACGGAAAGGCCCGGCUUUUGUGGGGUGCUCGAGUGGCGAACGGGUGAGUAACACGUGAGUAACCUGCCCUUGACUUUGGGAUAACUUCAGGGAAAUGGGGCUAAUACCGGAUAGGAGCUCCUGCUGCAUGGUGGGGGUUGGAAAGUUUCGGCGGUUGGGGCUGGACUCGCGGCUUAUCAGCUUGUUGGUGGGGUAGUGGCUUACAAAGGCUGUGACGGGUAGCCGGCCUGAGAGGGUGACCGGCCACAUUGGGACUGAGGUACGGACCAGUCUCGUACGGUAGGCAGCAGUGGGGAAUAUUGCACAAUGGGCGGAAGCCUGAUGCAGCAGCGCCGCGUGCGGGAUGACGGCCUUCUGGGUGUAAACCGCUUUCGCCUGUGACGAAGCGUGCGUGACGGUAAUUGGUAAAGAAGCACCGGCUAACUACGUG